Molecule: long non-coding RNA, 791 nt
Organism: Callorhinchus milii (elephant shark)
Lineage: Eukaryota; Metazoa; Chordata; Chondrichthyes; Chimaeriformes; Callorhinchidae
Exons: 3
Source: RefSeq, a predicted model, not a curated record
GAGAGUGGUGAGUACCACAUGUUUUGGUUGUUGGGUCGCUCCCUCAAUUGCAGGAAGCUUUUUGUUUGAAAGAAUCUCCGAGGCGAUGUGGUUCAGCUGAAUUAGCUGCAAUAUUUCACUGACCACUGUAACAAUGCGGCAUUGACUUGGAAAGGAUCGCAGUUUGGGACGAUUCCAGUACACUGUGUGGCCGGCUAUGCUGUCUAUGACCGUUCAGUUCUGACCUCCACACUCGGCGAGACUUCGGCCUCUGUUGAAGACUUCAAGCGGGCCUGGGAGAAGCCCAGCACCAGCGGAUUGAUGAGCCAACGUGCGUGAGCCCCGGAGGUUUGCCGCGAUAUUUUUUGUGAAAAGAAAGAUCGUCCUUCCUUUCCUUCCUGCCGUGGAAAGACCGAAGCUUGCGAAAGCCAUGCGAUUUGCAGGCGAUGAAAUUGCCCCAGCCUGAGUUUCAAUCCAUCGACUGACAAGCCAACUGACUGACAAGCUAAUGUUUUUAAACACCCUGGGCACCCUCGCGUGAUUGACACACAGUCACUGCGAUCGAAUUUCAGCAAUGGCUUCUAACUCACCAGCAAGUAAUAAAGAAACUAAAGGCAGAUGAAACGUGACCCUGGGUUUCAGAUUCAACUCCAACAGUAACGUACAGCCCGGCACAAGGCAGUAUGUGUAUCAGCGCUGUACAGCUAAUUGCUUAUUCUGUAUUGCGUUCACUGCUUUGGAUCUCUCUCUCUCUCCCCCUCUCUCUUUUUUUCCUCCGCAUUUCCGUUCACUUCAUCCGAGACGGCCUAAUU